AGGAAGGCCCUUGCAAGAACAGGUGCAUCUGGGGGGCAUUAAGCCCUGAAGAAGUUUUAUCACACAUGUUCGCUAAUGAACAUUUGGAAAACACAAACCAGCGGAGGAGAACCCCUCGCAGGCCCAUCAUGAACACAACACUGCUGUUAACAGUUUUGCUGGAACGAGGCUGGGAGCACGAGGCGUCCGCAGCACGUGGCUGAUUCCCAGCGUUUGCUCACCUGUGUGUAGGUUUCCUUAUAUGGUUGUGAUCAUACUGUUUGCGCAUUUUUAUGCUUCUUUUUU
RNAcentral lists this long non-coding RNA (285 nucleotides) under Homo sapiens (human). Its description in RNAcentral is "HSALNT0099629". Lineage: Eukaryota; Metazoa; Chordata; Mammalia; Primates; Hominidae. The record is from RNAcentral.